Molecule: long non-coding RNA, 1662 nt
Organism: Solanum stenotomum
Lineage: Eukaryota; Viridiplantae; Streptophyta; Magnoliopsida; Solanales; Solanaceae
Exons: 4
Source: RefSeq, a predicted model, not a curated record
UCGGGGUAUUAGUUCUGUUACUUUUGUAGAUGUAGACCCUCGAUUAUUUAGUCGUGAUUUGUUACUUUUGAUAGAAUUGUUUCUAUUAGUAGUCGCAUAAACUGUUUCUAAUUGUGCAGGGACAAAGAUCAUGGUCACAAAAUUAUUAUUCUGCAAGCACAGAGAUUAAUAGGCUAUGGUCUUAUCUGCAUAUAUGGUAGUUAUGAAGCCUGGCAUUGUUCUUUUAUGAAGAAGAGAAUCAGUCGACUGUUGAAAUAACGAUGUCCAUGUGAUUUUAUGAGAUAUGAUCAAGAGAAUCAGCGGACUGUUGAAAUAACACUUUCACUUGUGAUUUGUGAGGUAGGUUAGGUUAGUACUCUCAGUUGGAGAAGAAUCAUUUUGGGUAAAGUAUGUUAUGCAGUUUUCCUACUUUAGGAAAUAAUAUCGAGAUCUCCUGAAAUGUUUUAGGGGACAGCUUAAAUUGGACUCUCGCAUAGCGCCUUGGGCAUAUUGUGCACGGGUGACUGGUUCUCUUAGUGUUUUAUUUUUUUAUUUUAUUAAGUAGAUUCAUUGUUGGCAUCAAGAAGAAGAUACCAAGUGUACAAAAGAGAUGCUGUCAAAUUCAUUGCAAUUGUCUAUGCUACAAAAAGGUUAUACCAAAACUAUUUAGAAUGUUAGCCCAAGCCCGAAGGAAGCAAAAAACUAUUUUAUGAGCAACUUCCUCUUAGGUUUGUAUAUGUGCUUUAGUAUCCUUUAAUAACUGAACCCAUUGUCUUGGAUUUGAUCAUUAGAUAUUCAAGCAGUUCUCAUUGUAUAUUAAUAUUCCUAUCAGUUACACUCCAAAUCGUUCUCCCCCUUUAUGAAUGUGUACUACGGCAAUGCAUUGCCAGGGGUCAAGAUACCAAGACUCGCUUCAAUAUGGUGGCGCAUAACAGAGUUGAAUAAUUCCAUGUUGCCAUCAUUUUUCUUGAAAUUUAAAGAAUGGGAAGGUAACUCCUGAGGAUUUCCUGUUGAUACAUACAACUUCUAGAGGGACGUAUUUGUUAUGUUACUUGUGUAGAUCAUGUGAAUAUUUAGUUACUUUGAUGGGAUUAUUCUAUUAGUAACCGCAUUAACUGUUUCUAAAUUGUGCAGGGACAAAGAUCAUGGUUACAAAUACUGUCAGUUGUGCAGGACAAAUAUUUCUAUUGUGCGACUGGUACUCCUGUAUUCUCACAUUUGUCAAAGGUCAAGCUUCCUCUUAGGGCCGAUGAUAUGUCCUUGGGACUCUCUUAACCAGAUACGGAGAUGCUAUGUCUAUGCUAUACUCAGUAGCUGCAAGAUUAGAGCCGGCAUUGCACCUGUGUCUGAUGCCAUCUUUACAAAGUAUAGUGAUUUUACAGCCAACUCUACGCCUAUUCAAGUGCAAAUCCACGAGAGCUUAAUCCCUUCCUCAAGAGUCUGCCGUUCUUGAGAUAUCAAGGAAGCAUUGAUAACAACACGAUCAUUGUGUGGGCAGCCGCUAAGGAGAUAAAACAUUGUUUACAAGAAAGCCAACUUGUGUGUACUGCACAUUAGUCUUAUAUUUGCAAUUCUUAUCAGUAAGUUAUUUAUAUUUGCAUGUCUUAAUUUUAUAAUUUAUCCAUGAUCCAAGCUCAAAGCAGUGAUUUUGGUUAAACCAGCCUAACCAGAUUUGUCUCUGAA